This 458-nucleotide ribosomal RNA is filed under the name uncultured bacterium. RNAcentral's name for it is "partial 16S ribosomal RNA". It matches the Rfam family "Bacterial small subunit ribosomal RNA", at positions 338 to 795 of the family's 1533-position model. The record is from RNAcentral.
CCUACGGGAGGCAGCAGUGAGGAAUAUUGGUCAAUGGGCGAGAGCCUGAACCAGCCAAGUCGCGUGAGGGAGUACUGCCCUAUGGGUUGUAAACCUCUUUUGUCGGGGAGCAAAAGCCGGACGUGUCCGGCUGUGAGAGUACCCGAAGAAAAAGCAUCGGCUAACCCCGUGCCAGCAGCCGCGGUAAUACGGGGGAUGCGAGCGUUAUCCGGAUUUAUUGGGUUUAAAGGGUGCGCAGGCGGAUUUUUAAGUCAGCGGUAAAAUCGUGGGGCUCAACCCCAUCCAGCCGUUGAAACUGGGGAUCUAGAGUGUGCGAGAGGUAUGCGGAAUGCGUGGUGUAGCGGUGAAAUGCAUAGAUAUCACGCAGAACCCCGAUUGCGAAGGCAGCAUACCGGUGCACAACUGACGCUCAGGCACGAAAGCGUGGGUAUCGAACAGGAUUAGAUACCCGAGUAGUC